RNAcentral lists this ribosomal RNA (253 nucleotides) under uncultured bacterium. RNAcentral describes it as "partial 16S ribosomal RNA". It matches the Rfam family "Archaeal small subunit ribosomal RNA", at positions 474 to 727 of the family's 1478-position model. The record is from RNAcentral.
UACCAGCACCCCGAGUGGUCGGGACGAUUAUUGGGCCUAAAGCAUCCGUAGCCGGUCUUGCAAGUCUUCCGUUAAAUCCAGCUGCUUAACAGAUGGGCUGCGGAAGAUACUACAAGACUAGGAGGUGGGAGAGGCAAGCGGUACUCAGUGGGUAGGGGUAAAAUCCAUUGAUCUACUGAAGACCACCAGUGGCGAAGGCGGUUUGCCAGAACGCGCUCGACGGUGAGGGAUGAAAGCUGGGGGAGCAAACCGG